RNAcentral lists this ribosomal RNA (253 nucleotides) under uncultured bacterium. RNAcentral's name for it is "partial 16S ribosomal RNA". It matches the Rfam family "Bacterial small subunit ribosomal RNA", at positions 524 to 776 of the family's 1533-position model. The record is from RNAcentral.
UACGGAGGGUGCAAGCGUUAAUCGGAAUUACUGGGCGUAAAGGGUGCGUAGGUGGUAUGAUAAGUUAACUGUGAAAUUCCUGGGCUUAACCUGGGGUGGUCAGUUAAAACUGUUGUACUCGAGUAUGGGAGAGGGUAGUGGAAUUUCCGGUGUAGCGGUGAAAUGCGUAGAGAUCGGAAGGAACACCAGUGGCGAAGGCGGCUACCUGGCCUAAUACUGACACUGAGGCACGAAAGCGUGGGGAGCAAACAGG